GGAGAGGUGGCUGAGUGGUCGAAAGCAGCGGUUUGCUAAACCGUCGUACUGGGAAACCGGUACCGGGGGUUCGAAUCCCCCCCUCUCCGCCA
RNAcentral lists this transfer RNA (92 nucleotides) under Bryobacterales bacterium. Its description in RNAcentral is "tRNA-Ser". It matches the Rfam family "tRNA". Rfam says of the family: Transfer RNA (tRNA) molecules are approximately 80 nucleotides in length. Their secondary structure includes four short double-helical elements and three loops (D, anti-codon, and T loops). Lineage: Bacteria; Pseudomonadati; Acidobacteriota; Terriglobia; Bryobacterales. The record is from RNAcentral.